AGAGCGAACGCUGGCGGCAGGCCUAAUACAUGCAAGUCGAACGCACCUUCGGGUGAGUGGCGGACGGGUGAGUAACACGUGGGAACGUGCCCUUUGGUUCGGAAUAAUCCGGGGAAACCUGGCCUAAUACCGAAUGUGCCCUUCGGGGGAAAGAUUUAUCGCCAUUGGAGCGGCCCGCGUCUGAUUAGCUAGUUGGUGGGGUAAAGGCCCACCAAGGCUACGAUCAGUAGCUGGUCUGAGAGGAUGAUCAGCCACACUGGGACUGAGACACGGCCCAGACUCCUACGGGAGGCAGCAGUAGGGAAUCUUGCGCAAUGGGCGAAAGCCUGACGCAGCCAUGCCGCGUGAAUGAUGAAGGUCUUAGGAUUGUAAAAUUCUUUCAGCGGGAAGAUAAUGACGGUACCGCAGAAGAACGCCCGGCUAACUUCGUGCCAGCAGCCGC
This 442-nucleotide ribosomal RNA is filed under the name uncultured bacterium. RNAcentral describes it as "SSU rRNA". It matches the Rfam family "Bacterial small subunit ribosomal RNA", at positions 26 to 518 of the family's 1533-position model. The record is from RNAcentral.